This 468-nucleotide ribosomal RNA is filed under the name uncultured bacterium. Its description in RNAcentral is "partial 16S ribosomal RNA". It matches the Rfam family "Bacterial small subunit ribosomal RNA", at positions 28 to 507 of the family's 1533-position model. The record is from RNAcentral.
GACGAACGCUGGCGGCGUGCGUAACACAUGCAAGUCGAACGGAAAGGCCCUGCUUUUGUGGGGUGCUCGAGUGGCGAACGGGUGAGUAACACGUGAGUAACCUGCCCUUGACUUUGGGAUAACUUCAGGAAACUGGGGCUAAUACCGGAUAGGAUCUCCUGCUGCAUGGUGGGGGUUGGAAAGUUUCGGCGGUUGGGGAUGGACUCGCGGCUUAUCAGCUUGUUGGUGUGGUAGUGGCUUACCAAGGCUUUGACGGGUAGCCGGCCUGAGAGGGUGACCGGCCACAUUGGGACUGAGAUAAGGCCCAGACUCCUACGGGAGGCAGCAGUGGGGAAUAUUGCACAAUGGGCGGAAGCCUGAUGCAGAAACGCCGCGUGCGGGAUGACGGCCUUCGGGUUGUAAACCGCUUUCGCAUGUGACGAAGCGUGAGUGACGGUAAUGGGUAAAGAAGCACCGGCUAACUACGUG